GACGAACGCUGGCGGCGUGCUUAACACAUGCAAGUCGAACGGAAAGGCCCUGCUUUUGUGGGGUGCUCGAGUGGCGAACGGGUGAGUAACACGUGAGUAACCUGUCCUUGACUUUGGGAUAACUUCAGGAAACUGGGGCUAAUAUCGGAUAGGAGCUCCUGCUGCAUGGUGGUGGUUGGAAAGUUUCGGCGGUUGGGGAUGGACUCGCGGCUUAUCAGCUUGUUGGUGGGGUAGUGGCUUACCAAGGCUUUGACGGGUAGCCGGCCUGAGAGGGUGACCGGCCACAUUGGGACUGAGGUACGGCCCAGACUCCUACGGGAGGCAGCAGUGGGGAAUAUUGCACAAUGGGCGGAAGCCUGAUGCAGCAACGCCGCGUGCGGGAUGACGGCCUUCGGGUUGUAAACCGCUUUCGCCUGUGACGAAGCGUGAGUGACGGUAAUGUGUAAAGAAGCACCGGCUAACUACGUG
Molecule: ribosomal RNA, 468 nt
Filed under: uncultured bacterium
Lineage: Bacteria
Description: partial 16S ribosomal RNA
Rfam family: Bacterial small subunit ribosomal RNA
Source: RNAcentral